AGAUUAAGUUAUUAAGGGCGCACGGUGGAUGCCUUGGCACUAGAAGCCGAUGAAGGACGUUACUAACGACGAUAUGCUUUGGGGAGCUGUAAGUAAGCUUUGAUCCAGAGAUUUCCGAAUGGGGAAACCCAGCAUGAGUUAUGUCAUGUUAUCGAUAUGUGAAUACAUAGCAUAUCAGAAGGCACACCCGGAGAACUGAAACAUCUUAGUACCCGGAGGAAGAGAAAGAAAAUUCGAUUCCCUUAGUAGCGGCGAGCGAAACGGGAAGAGCCCAAACCAACAAGCUUGCUUGUUGGGGUUGUAGGACACUCUAUACGGAGUUACAAAGGACGACAUUAGACGAAUCAUCUGGAAAGAUGAAUCAAAGAAGGUAAUAAUCCUGUAGUCGAAAAUGUUGUCUCUCUUGAGUGGAUCCUGAGUACGACGGAGCACGUGAAAUUCCGUCGGAAUCUGGGAGGACCAUCUCCUAAGGCUAAAUACUCUCUAGUGACCGAUAGUGAACCAGUACCGUGAGGGAAAGGUGAAAAGCACCCCGGAAGGGGAGUGAAAUAGAACCUGAAACCGUGUGCUUACAAGUAGUCAGAGCCCGUUAAUGGGUGAUGGCGUGCCUUUUGUAGAAUGAACCGGCGAGUUACGAUUUGAUGCAAGGUUAAGCAGUAAAUGUGGAGCCGUAGCGAAAGCGAGUCUGAAUAGGGCGUUUAGUAUUUGGUCGUAGACCCGAAACCAGGUGAUCUACCCUUGGUCAGGUUGAAGUUCAGGUAACACUGAAUGGAGGACCGAACCGACUUACGUUGAAAAGUGAGCGGAUGAACUGAGGGUAGCGGAGAAAUUCCAAUCGAACCUGGAGAUAGCUGGUUCUCUCCGAAAUAGCUUUAGGGCUAGCCUCAAGUGAUGAUUAUUGGAGGUAGAGCACUGUUUGGACGAGGGGCCCCUCUCGGGUUACCGAAUUCAGACAAACUCCGAAUGCCAAUUAAUUUAACUUGGGAGUCAGAACAUGGGUGAUAAGGUCCGUGUUCGAAAGGGAAACAGCCCAGACCACCAGCUAAGGUCCCAAAAUAUAUGUUAAGUGGAAAAGGAUGUGGCGUUGCCCAGACAACUAGGAUGUUGGCUUAGAAGCAGCCAUCAUUUAAAGAGUGCGUAAUAGCUCACUAGUCGAGUGACACUGCGCCGAAAAUGUACCGGGGCUAAACAUAUUACCGAAGCUGUGGAUUGUCCUUUGGACAAUGGUAGGAGAGCGUUCUAAGGGCGUUGAAGCAUGAUCGUAAGGACAUGUGGAGCGCUUAGAAGUGAGAAUGCCGGUGUGAGUAGCGAAAGACGGGUGAGAAUCCCGUCCACCGAUUGACUAAGGUUUCCAGAGGAAGGCUCGUCCGCUCUGGGUUAGUCGGGUCCUAAGCUGAGGCCGACAGGCGUAGGCGAUGGAUAACAGGUUGAUAUUCCUGUACCACCUAUAAUCGUUUUAAUCGAUGGGGGGACGCAGUAGGAUAGGCGAAGCGUGCGAUUGGAUUGCACGUCUAAGCAGUAAGGCUGAGUAUUAGGCAAAUCCGGUACUCGUUAAGGCUGAGCUGUGAUGGGGAGAAGACAUUGUGUCUUCGAGUCGUUGAUUUCACACUGCCGAGAAAAGCCUCUAGAUAGAAAAUAGGUGCCCGUACCGCAAACCGACACAGGUAGUCAAGAUGAGAAUUCUAAGGUGAGCGAGCGAACUCUCGUUAAGGAACUCGGCAAAAUGACCCCGUAACUUCGGGAGAAGGGGUGCUCUUUAGGGUUAACGCCCAGAAGAGCCGCAGUGAAUAGGCCCAAGCGACUGUUUAUCAAAAACACAGGUCUCUGCUAAACCGUAAGGUGAUGUAUAGGGGCUGACGCCUGCCCGGUGCUGGAAGGUUAAGAGGAGUGGUUAGCUUCUGCGAAGCUACGAAUCGAAGCCCCAGUAAACGGCGGCCGUAACUAUAACGGUCCUAAGGUAGCGAAAUUCCUUGUCGGGUAAGUUCCGACCCG
This 1992-nucleotide ribosomal RNA is filed under the name Staphylococcus aureus. Its description in RNAcentral is "partial 23S ribosomal RNA". It matches the Rfam family "Bacterial large subunit ribosomal RNA", at positions 1 to 1990 of the family's 2925-position model. Lineage: Bacteria; Bacillati; Bacillota; Bacilli; Caryophanales; Staphylococcaceae. The record is from RNAcentral.